RNAcentral lists this ribosomal RNA (253 nucleotides) under uncultured bacterium. RNAcentral's name for it is "partial 16S ribosomal RNA". It matches the Rfam family "Bacterial small subunit ribosomal RNA", at positions 524 to 776 of the family's 1533-position model. The record is from RNAcentral.
UACGGAGGAUGCAAGCGUUAUCCGGAAUGAUUGGGCGUAAAGCGUCCGCAGGUGGCAAUGUAAGUCUGCUGUUAAAGAGUCUAGCUCAACUAGAUACAAGCAGUGGAAACUACAUAGCUAGAGUACGUUCGGGGCAGAGGGAAUUCCUGGUGUAGCGGUGAAAUGCGUAGAGAUCAGGAAGAACACCGGUGGCGAAGGCGCUCUGCUAGGCCGUAACUGACACUGAGGGACGAAAGUGUGGGGAGCGAACAGG